Long non-coding RNA from Canis lupus familiaris (dog), 3664 nucleotides. RefSeq lists it as uncharacterized. The record is from RefSeq and is a predicted model, not a curated record. NCBI's taxonomy places the organism in Eukaryota, Metazoa, Chordata, Mammalia, Carnivora, Canidae. The transcript is spliced from 5 exons.
UCUACUAUUUCCCUCUGAAGAGGAAAGAUUCUUAACCAAAGUUGGAUCUAAGUCUGGCCCCAAAGACUGUCUGUGCUAGUUACAAAAGGGCACAAGCCCAAUAGUGAAAGGAUGAAGCUCUGGACACAGCCCGAGAUACGCUGCCCCAGCACUGCCUUCAGAGUGCCCCCGUGCCUGACACCCCGGCAGGAGUCCCCGGCGGGCGACACAGAAAGGAGCCCACUGCCUGCUUUGACAAUGCAGUCAGAUCACAUGCUCCCGAAGGGAUCGCUCUACUCAGGUAACCACCUGCAGGCACUCAGCACACCAGCAAACGGAUCAGACCACCAAAACUUCCAGAAACCAUCAAGGAGAAGGGUGGGGAGGAAGAAACAUGUGGUUGCCCUGAACUGCUAAGUGUUCUGCUCCUUUGCAGUAUCUGCAGCAUUUUAAAUUCUCUUGUUUAACCAUUUUGAAACCUGAUAGGUUUCGCAGACCUUUCCGUCCCAGGACCUGGGCUCCCUCCAAGGCACUGUUUUUAAAACAGGCCUUUUUACAUUACCCGCUCCUGGAACAUCAUCUGUCUCUAAGUUUCCAGCGCUUACUGAGGUCAAUUUUCAUUUCUGCAAAUCACGGGCAGCCACUUGCUUCUGAGAAGUUAACAAGCCUCCUGAGAAAUGCUGGUGGCUGCUAUUUCAUUGUUUCAUAAAUAUUUUUAUACAGUGACACCAUUCAGACCUUAAAUAAAUCUUUAAAAAAAGAAAGACAACUAAAAAGCAAAGAAAAUGAUGAUCUGGAUUUUAUUUAUUUCCGUGGGAGGAAGAAUAAGGCAAGGGUGAGCUCCCCUAUUGUUUCCAACUCAUUUAAAAAUGUUCCUUCAGUUCAAAAAAAAAAAAAUUAUAUAUAUAUACAUGUACACACACACACACACACAUACACGCACACACAAAUGCAUUUUAGAAAAGAGAAACUCGUGGAAGUUGAACUUUCUUGAAAACGGGCCUCUGGACUUUGGAAAAACAGUGUUGCUGCUGCGAACAAAGACUAAGAAGUACCCCCUGAUUUUUCUGCUCUCCUGGGGAUCCUCUCUCUUCCAAUAAACAAACAAAUCCCCCAGUAUUUCCUACCGAAGGGAAGUUUUCCAGGGAGAGUCUCCUCCAGGGUUUGGUGGAAACAGCUGUGAGGACCAAUGAGCUACAGUGACAUACAACACGGAGGCUCUCGGACCACGCUGCAUGAAAGACCUAAAGCACAAAGGUGGCAUCUAAGAACAUGUUCUUUGGAUCAACCUGAGGCAGCUCCAGAAGGCUGCUGAUAAAGAAGUUUGACAUUCAAAAUGGUGGAAUUGCUGGAUUCCAGAAAUGACUCACCAAUGAUUCUGACCUGAGGAAAAUUCAUUAUCUACAAAGUAAAGAGAGAAGAAGUGUCCCACUUCCCUGACGAUGGAACCCUGGUUGUACCCAGAACUCCAGGCCUCCACUCCAUAAUUCAGGGAGGCACAGUCCUCACUCUUCAGGUCCGGCUUUCUGGCGAUCUCCUUUGCUUUGCCGGCAAAUGCCACCUAGAUAAUACACUCCUUCCUGGCCUUGUUCAAGUGGGUUCCCCUCACUUCCUCUUCCGGGAAACAUGACGUACAUCCCCCAGGAAUAUUAUAGGAGGGGUUCCUGCCUUGUGUGGGAAAUGCAGAAGGUCCUUUCCAGCUCUGGAAUUCUCUGCUCCUGCGCUCUGCAGAAAGGAACCCUGUGGAGCCCCGGGAGGGAGUUCCUCAGGGAGGCGACAGGCUGUGGUCGACACCAGGAGUGCAGGGCUUGGAGGCAGACGUCCUGAGCAGGAUCCGGUGAUUCCGUGACCAAUCCUGGGGCUCCGGCUCAAUCACAGAAGGUCUCAGAAACUCAGUUUUCUUACCUACGCAAUGGGGAUAAAAGCAGCCCCUACCUCAGGAUAAGGGUUGAAUGAGAAAACCAUCAAAGUGCCUUUCAAUGUGAAGUCCUAUUUAUAGAUCAUUACUUUCAAGAAAAACUCAACACAAAGAGCAGAAAUGAAAGGCUUUUGUUUACCUUACUGGAAACAGAGAACUGAAAUAUAAAGACAUUUGUUGGGAAAUAGUUUGGGGCAAGUGGUGGUCUUUUCCAGGGAAGAUUUCACGCUCUUUGCCCCACCAGCUUUUCCCAGUAACACCACUGUUUCUAAGUGCUUCUAAAGAGCAGCACAGCUGAGAGCAGGGGAGAAAGAGGAGUCUCUUGGACAGUGGCCUGCAGCCCCGCUGCCACCAACUAUUAAUAGCCUAUAAACCCUUGGAGUGGAGCCCCGGCCGCUCCCCACCCCCCGGGACAGCAGAGGGGUCAGAGCACUGCCUGAUAUGGUCUCAGAAUACUGGUGAUCCCUGGAGUUCUCCCAGUUAGGGAACUUUUCUCCAGCUGGGCGGGGCCUGGCUGGGCUUCCUCCUGCAGAGACCCCAGCCUGAACCGCUAGUCAGGUUCACAUUCAGCGAGCUUUCAUUGACCUCUUUCUGGGUCCCCAGGCCCCACACCAGCUGCCUUGACACACAGGAUCUCAUUGUACCUUCACAGCAACGAGCACAGCUAUCCUAUGGAAAUGGGAACCCAGCUCAGAAAGGGGUCAUGACCUGUUCCAGGUCGUUCAGAAAGGAAAUUUGGUUCUAAAACCCAAUUCGCCUGUCUCCAAGCCAGUGCUCUAAGCUUUGCAUGGUGGCACUGUGCAGUCUGGGAGACUCCUGGUCUUCAGCAAGACCAUCAAAAUCCUCUGGCCAUGCUGGCAAUAAGGGUGAGGGGCCUGAGGAUAAAGUGAGUCAGAGAGCAAGACCAAAGGCAGCCUGGCACCCGGACUCUGUGGAUUGGAGAAGCUGACAUGACCCUGCUCUGGAGGCCUGGGAGACACAGGCUCAGAGAGCAGAUGGGGCCCCUCUGUCCCUCUGUUCACGGGCACACCGGAUCCUAUCCCUUCCCUGCUUGGACAACCUUAGAGACCCUCUCUGCUCUCUGAAUGCAGCACAAGGAUAGUCCCUUAGCUUGACAUUUGGGGUCCUCCAUGACCGAACUCGUGUUCUUUCAACAUUUACUCCUAUUCUUUCCCUUCUGUUCCCAUCCACACGUAUUUACAGGUGCUGGGAUAGCAUUUUGAGGGAAAGGAUCACAUCUUAGAUCUUUUUUGGACCUCCAGGCCCUGGCCCAGCUGUGAUGCUCAGGAACUGCAGGAAGAGCUGCCCCUUGUCAACGGGGUCCAGAGGGCUGGAAUAGAAGGGAUGGGGCAGGGAUCCCUGGGUGGCGCAGCGGUUUGGCGCCUGCCUUUGGCCCAGGGCGCGAUCCUGGAGACCCGGGAUCGAAUCCCACAUCGGGCUCCCUGCAUGGAGCCUGCUUCUCCCUCUGCCUAUGUCUCUGCCUCUCUCUCUCUGUGUGUGACUAUCAUGAAUAAAUAAAUAAAAUCUUAAAAAAAAAAAAAAAAAAAGAAGGGAUGGGGCAUAGGACGUGGGGCAAGGAGACCACAGACUGAGGAAGGUCCAGACUGCCCCUUCUGACCCCAGGGCUGAGUUCAAGAGAUCCUAGGCUGGGGCACCCAGGUGGCUCAGUGGUUGAGCCUUUGGCUCAGGUCGUGAUCCUGGUGUCCUGAGAUCAAGUCCCACAGUGGGCUCCCCACAGGGGGCCUGCUUCUCCCUCUGCCUGUGUCU